AGUGAACGCUGGCGGUAGGCCUAACACAUGCAAGUCGAACGGCAGCACAGUAAGAGCUUGCUCUUACGGGUGGCGAGUGGCGGACGGGUGAGGAAUACAUCGGAAUCUACUUUUUCGUGGGGGAUAACGUAGGGAAACUUACGCUAAUACCGCAUACGACCUACGGGUGAAAGCAGGGGAUCUUCGGACCUUGCGCGAUUGAAUGAGCCGAUGUCGGAUUAGCUAGUUGGCGGGGUAAAGGCCCACCAAGGCGACGAUCCGUAGCUGGUCUGAGAGGAUGAUCAGCCACACUGGAACUGGAACAGGGACCGUGCUCCCACGGGAGGCAGCAGUGGGGAAUAUUGGACAAUGGGCGCAAGCCUGAUCCAGCCAGAGCGCGUGGGAGAAGAAGGCCUUCGGGUUGUAAAGCCCUUUUGUUGGGAAAGAAAAGCAGCAGGUUAAUACGCCGCUGUUCUGACGGUACCCAAAGAAUAAGCACCGGCUAACUUCGUG
Molecule: ribosomal RNA, 492 nt
Filed under: uncultured bacterium
Lineage: Bacteria
Description: partial 16S ribosomal RNA
Rfam family: Bacterial small subunit ribosomal RNA
Source: RNAcentral